GAUGAACGCUGGCGGCGUGCCUAAUACAUGCAAGUCGAGCGAACAGACGAGGAGCUUGCUCCUCUGACGUUAGCGGCGGACGGGUGAGUAACACGGGGAUAACCUACCUAUAAGACUGGGGUAACUUCGGGAGACCGGAGCUAAGACCGGAUAAUAUAUUGAACCGCAUUGUGCAAUAGUGAAAGACGGUUUUGCGGUCACUUAUAGCUGGAUACGCGCCGCAUUAGCUAGUUGGUAAGGUAACGGCUUAACAAGGCAACGAUGGGAAACCGACCUGAGAGGGUGAUCGCCCACCUUGGAACUGAGAAACGGUCCAGACUCCUACGGGAGGCAGCAGUAGGGACUCUUCCGCAAUGGGCGAAAGCCUGACGGAGCACCGCGGCGUGAGUGCUGAAGGUCUUCGGAUCGUAAAACUCUGUUAUUAGGGAAGAACAAAUGUGUAAGUAACUAUGCUCGUCUUGACGGUACCUAAUCAGAAAGCCACGGCUAACUACGUG
Molecule: ribosomal RNA, 497 nt
Filed under: uncultured bacterium
Lineage: Bacteria
Description: partial 16S ribosomal RNA
Rfam family: Bacterial small subunit ribosomal RNA
Source: RNAcentral